This 189-nucleotide ribosomal RNA is filed under the name Triticum aestivum (bread wheat). RNAcentral describes it as "partial small subunit ribosomal RNA". Lineage: Eukaryota; Viridiplantae; Streptophyta; Magnoliopsida; Poales; Poaceae. The record is from RNAcentral.
CAGGACUCUGUCACCUGCGCAGUCCGCGCCAAGAUUGGCUGCACCACUCACCCGUGAAGCAUCACUGAGAGGGAAAGAAGAACAAGGAUUAGCAAGAGGCUAAGGAGGCUGCAAGACCUUCUGCCCAACAUGGACAAGGUAACUAAAUCAGUUGAACUGAUGCACGCUGUCAAUUCUGUCACCACAUAG